This 406-nucleotide ribosomal RNA is filed under the name uncultured bacterium. Its description in RNAcentral is "partial 16S ribosomal RNA". It matches the Rfam family "Bacterial small subunit ribosomal RNA", at positions 30 to 526 of the family's 1533-position model. The record is from RNAcentral.
AUUGAACGCUGGCGGCAGGCUUAACACAUGCAAGUCGAGCGAGUGGCGGACGGGUGAGUAAUGCAUGGGGAUCUGGCUUAUGGAGGGGGAUAACUACUGGAAACUGUAGCUAAUACCGCGUACCAUAGGAUGAGCCCAAGUGGGAUUAGGUUGUUGGUUAGGUAACGGCUCACCAAGUCGACGAUCUCUAGCUGGUCUGAGAGGAUGACCAGCCACACUGGUACUGAGACACGUCCCAGACUCCUACGUGAGGCAGCAGUGGGGAAUAUUGCACAAUGGGUGCAAGCCUGAUGCAGCCAUGCCGCGUGAAUGAAGAAGGCCUUCGGGUUGUAAAGUACUUUCUGUCGGGAGGCGUUACCUACAGAAGAAGCACCGGCUAACUCCGUGCCAGCAGCCGCGGUAAUUC